UACGGAGGGUGCAAGCGUUAUCCGGAUUCACUGGGUUUAAAGGGUGCGUAGGUGGGCAGGUAAGUCAGUGGUGAAAUCUCCGGGCUCAACUCGGAAACUGCCAUUGAUACUAUCUGUCUUGAAUACCGUGGAGGUCAGCGGAAUAUGUCAUGUAGCGGUGAAAUGCUUAGAUAUGACAUAGAACACCAAUUGCGAAGGCAGCUGGCUACACGAAUAUUGACACUGAUGCACGAAAGCGUGGGGAUCAAACAGG
This 253-nucleotide ribosomal RNA is filed under the name uncultured bacterium. RNAcentral's name for it is "partial 16S ribosomal RNA". It matches the Rfam family "Bacterial small subunit ribosomal RNA", at positions 524 to 776 of the family's 1533-position model. The record is from RNAcentral.